UAUGUACAUGCCUUUAGCAUAGAAUCAAUGCACCAAAUCCCAUUAGAGCUUCGCAGUUAAGUGUGUUCAAACUAGAGUAGUACUGGGAUGGGUGACCACCCAAGAAGUCCUAGUGUUUUACAUGC
Molecule: non-coding RNA, 125 nt
Organism: Picea glauca (white spruce)
Lineage: Eukaryota; Viridiplantae; Streptophyta; Pinopsida; Pinales; Pinaceae
Source: Rfam